Molecule: ribosomal RNA, 460 nt
Filed under: uncultured bacterium
Lineage: Bacteria
Description: partial 16S ribosomal RNA
Rfam family: Bacterial small subunit ribosomal RNA
Source: RNAcentral
CCUACGGGUGGCAGCAGUGAGGAAUAUUGGUCAAUGGACGAGAGUCUGAACCAGCCAAGUAGCGUGAAGGAUGACUGCCCUAUGGGUUGUAAACUUCUUUUAUAAAGGAAUAAACCGCGGCACGGGUGCCUUGUUGCAUGUACUUUAUGAAUAAGGAGCGGCGAACUCCGUGCCCGCAGCCGCGGUCAUACGGAGGAUCCGAACGUUAUCCGGAUUUAUUGGGUUUAAAGGGAGCGUAGAUGGGUUGUUAAGUCAGUUGUGAAAGUUUGCGGCUCAACCGUAAAAUUGCAAUGGAUACUGGCAGUCUUGAGUACAGUUGAGGUAGGCGGAAUUCGUGGUGUAGCGGUGAAAUGCUUAGAUAUCACGAAGAACCCCGAUUGCGAAGGCAGCUUACUAAACUGUGACUGACAUUGAUGCUCGAAAGUGUGGGUAUCAAACAGGAUUAGAUACCCCAGUAGUC